UACGUAGGGGGCAAGCGUUGUCCGGAUUUAUUGGGCGUAAAGCGCGUGUAGGCGGCCAGGUAGGCCGGGUGUGAAAACUCCAGGCUCAACCUGGAGACGCCACCUGAUACUGCUGUGGCUAGAGUCCGGUAGGGGAGCAUGGAAUUCCUGGUGUAGCGGUGAAAUGCGCAGAUAUCAGGAGAAACACCAGUGGCGAAGGCGGUGCUCUGGGCCGGAACUGACGCUGAGGAGCGAAAGCGUGGGGAGCAAACAGG
Molecule: ribosomal RNA, 254 nt
Filed under: uncultured bacterium
Lineage: Bacteria
Description: partial 16S ribosomal RNA
Rfam family: Bacterial small subunit ribosomal RNA
Source: RNAcentral